GCCAGCGGUGAUAGCACCUUGAAUACACCAGUCACCUAUCGUCUCACUGAAGUCAACCAAAAUUACGCAUGAUUGGUGCUCCGAUGGGUGAUCAUCUAGCCAAUCGCGUGCUGCUGUCU
This 119-nucleotide ribosomal RNA is filed under the name Diaphorina citri (Asian citrus psyllid). Lineage: Eukaryota; Metazoa; Arthropoda; Insecta; Hemiptera; Psyllidae. The record is from RNAcentral.